Molecule: ribosomal RNA, 253 nt
Filed under: uncultured bacterium
Lineage: Bacteria
Description: partial 16S ribosomal RNA
Rfam family: Bacterial small subunit ribosomal RNA
Source: RNAcentral
UACGUAGGGUGCGAGCGUUGUCCGGAAUUAUUGGGCGUAAAGGGCUCGUAGGCGGUCUGUCGCGUCGGGAGUGAAAACUCAGGGCUUAACCCUGAGCCUGCUUCCGAUACGGGCAGACUAGAGGUAUGCAGGGGAGAACGGAAUUCCUGGUGUAGCGGUGGAAUGCGCAGAUAUCAGGAGGAACACCGGUGGCGAAGGCGGUUCUCUGGGCAUUACCUGACGCUGAGGAGCGAAAGCCAGGGGAGCAAACGGG